RNAcentral lists this long non-coding RNA (989 nucleotides) under Nicotiana tabacum (common tobacco). Its description in RNAcentral is "long non-coding RNA (NTAB_LNC001367)". Lineage: Eukaryota; Viridiplantae; Streptophyta; Magnoliopsida; Solanales; Solanaceae. The record is from RNAcentral.
GGAGUAUUAAAGGAGGAAUUAAAAAGGAACAAAAAAGAAAAUAUGGUAACAUAUAUCAUUUGUAUCAUAUUAAUUAUCAUUUGUCACUUUUUCCUUAUUCUGGAGGCCCUAAAAUGUUGUUGUUGUACCAAGGAUACCAUUGGAAAGCACAAUCUCCACCUUUUUCAUAGUGUCAAAAACUAUGGUAAAGAACUGACCAUGAAUUAUCAAUAAUGUGCACAGAGACUAAUAAAUUCGAAAUUACACCAUAGAAUAGGAUGAAUACAUUUAUCCAAUACGAAAUAUUAGUAAUAUCAGCAAUGAUGUAGCUAGAACUAAGCGUGUGAUUCUUCAAAUAGUAAGUACUUGAGCCUCUUUAUUCCGCAACCUAAAGUGCAAAAGAAGAUUAUUCCUAACUGUCCUUUUAGAAGCAUAUGAGAUUUCCUCCGAAUCCACAUUCUUUGUGUAUGGCAAUUUGACACACCAUCUUUAUUUUUCACCAUUUGUUGUUGCUCCUCUCUAUCUCUAAUUAAUUGGCCUUAGUUUCUUCUUGCAGCCUGCGCAUUGUCUAAACCUGAAACGUAGUAUAUUUUAUUUGGAUAAAACAAUGAAGUAAACAAACACUGAUGUUAUACAACAGUUAAUUCUGAAAUUUGGGUACGAACAAAGUCCCACUCAAACUUCAAUAAGAAAAACACGUUACAUAAAACAUAAAGAUUUUCCUAAUGAUGUUAAAACAUUUUAAGGAAAAAUUGUGUUGAUUUAGCUAAAAUGAACAAUAUGACACCAUAAUAACAAUAUGACACCAUAUUAAAUAGUGCUUUAGGCUAAAUUAGACCUGUAAUUUUAAGGUCUAUAGGGACAGUGAAAGGCAUGCAACGGCAAGAAUGAGACAAGUAACGAAGGGAUGAUUCUUGAAAUGAACGGAUUUGCUAGAAAUAGUUGAAGGUGGUGUGAAAUACGGGUAGAUGGAAGGAUUAUUAUAAGGCGGUGUUAGAGGCUGCAGAGAG